CGGUGUUGAAAAACUGUUUUGACAACAGAUUUACUUUCUAAUUCUUGUUUUUUAUUGACAGUUUUAUAUUGUCUAUUUUUUUUCUACUACAAUUCUAUAUUCAGCAUUAAGAAUUGUGCAUGUACGUUUGAUUAUGUUUGUAUGUUUUUAUUUACAGUUUAAAGAAUAAACAGUAAGAUUAUGUGUUAUUUAUGUGUUUAUUCAAACAAUGCAAAUUAUAAUUUGCAUCACCCAAAGCAAAGGUCACCGCUGUUUUUUGUGGGGUUUGUGUUGCUCAGCUGUUAGUUUACUGUGGUGUGUUUUGUGGACUGCUGUUUGUUUUUCCAUAUUUUUUGCCAGGGUUUGUCAGUUUGGUUUACAUAUUUGAGCUUGGUUGUCUCUUUGGUAGCGUUCGUAUCUCUUUUAUUGUUGUCAGUAAAAAGCCAUCCUUUUAUAUGAAUAAAACAUGACGCCUUUGAAUCACUGAUUUUCUUUUGAAAUAUAGUCCAGUUAAUAUUUCAAACAUUAUUAGGAUUGAUAUUUUUCCCAUAUAAACGUCAAAAUACCUUUUGUGUGUCAAUGAAUUAUAAACUAUCUUUAAAUCUAAAGAUUGUGUCCUCUAUGUUGCUCUUUUUUAUAUUCAAUAUGAGUCUAAAAUAUCGUAGAUUUUUUUGGUCCGAGGAUGUAUAAAGAAAAAAAUAUCGUAUCUCAGCUGACAACCAAUGAGAUUGCAGCAGGGAAAAAAAUUACAUACAUUAUCAAUACUUGAUUUAAUUUAAAAUCACAUUUCAAAUUUAAGGUUUAUAUAAUUAAAAAGAUCGAUCUGAGUCAGUUUUUACUGCCUGGUGUAAAAUUAUCAAAACCUUAUAUACGAGGUUUUUGCAUAACAGCGACGAUAU
RNAcentral lists this long non-coding RNA (878 nucleotides) under Mytilus galloprovincialis (Mediterranean mussel). The record is from RNAcentral. Lineage: Eukaryota; Metazoa; Mollusca; Bivalvia; Mytilida; Mytilidae.